UACGUAGGGUGCAAGCGUUAAUCGGAAUUACUGGGCGUAAAGCGUGCGCAGGCGGCUAUGCAAGACAGAUGUGAAAUCCCCGGGCUCAACCUGGGAACUGCAUUUGUGACUGCAUAGCUAGAGUACGGUAGAGGGGGAUGGAAUUCCGCGUGUAGCAGUGAAAUGCGUAGAUAUGCGGAGGAACACCGAUGGCGAAGGCGAGUCCCUGGACAACAACCUGACAGCUG
This 227-nucleotide ribosomal RNA is filed under the name uncultured bacterium. RNAcentral describes it as "partial 16S ribosomal RNA". It matches the Rfam family "Bacterial small subunit ribosomal RNA", at positions 524 to 748 of the family's 1533-position model. The record is from RNAcentral.